Molecule: ribosomal RNA, 412 nt
Filed under: uncultured eukaryote
Lineage: Eukaryota
Description: SSU rRNA
Rfam family: Eukaryotic small subunit ribosomal RNA
Source: RNAcentral
CAAUAGCGUAUAUUAAAGUUGUUGCGGUAAAAAGCUCGUAGUUGGAUUUCUGUUGAGGGCAGCCGGUCCGUCCUUUGGGCGGUAUCUGGUUUGGCCUCGGCAUCCUCUCGAAAGACGUUUCUGCGCUUCGUUGCGUGGGGCGGAUCUCGGGACUUUACUUGAGGAAAUUAGAGUGUUCACGGCAGGCUAUCGCCAGAAUACAUUAGCAUGGAAUAAUACUAUAGGAUCUCGAUUCUAUUUUGUUGGUUUCUAGAAACGAGAUAAUGAUUAAUAGGGACAAUUGGGGGCAUUCGUAUCAACACGUCAGAGGUGGAAUUCUUGGAUUGUGUUGCGACGAACUACUGCGAAAGCAUUUGCCAAGGAUGUUUUCAUUGAUCAAGAACGAAAGUAAGGGGAUCGAAGACGAUUAGAU